GGGCUUGACAUCCCACGAACCUGGUGGAAACACCGGGGUGCCUUCGGGAGCCGCAAGACAGGUGGUGCAUGGCUGUCGUCAGCUCGUGUCGUGAGAUGUUGGGUUAAGUCCCGCAACGAGCGCAACCCUCACCCUUUGUUGCCACCAGGUCAGGCUGGGCACUCUAGGGGAACUGCCCCGGUCAACGGGGAGGAAGGUGGGGAUGACGUCAAGUCAUCAUGCCCCUUACGUCCUGGACUACACACGUGCUACAAUGGCCGGUACAAGGGGAUGCAAGACCGCGAGGUGGAGCUAAACCCAAAAAGCCGGUCUAAGUUCAGACUGGAGUCUGCAACUCGACUCCGUGAAGGAGGAAUCGCUAGUAAUCGCGCAUCAGCACGGCGCGGUGAAUACGUUCCCGGGCCUUGUACACACCGCCCGUCACACCACGAAAGCCAGCUGUACUCGAAGUCGCUGAG
Molecule: ribosomal RNA, 458 nt
Filed under: uncultured Methylomirabilota bacterium
Lineage: Bacteria; Methylomirabilota (SeqCode)
Description: bacterial SSU rRNA
Rfam family: Bacterial small subunit ribosomal RNA
Source: RNAcentral